GACGAACGCUGGCGGCGCGCCUAACACAUGCAAGUCGAACGAGAGAUGAGGAGCUUGCUCUUCAAAUCGAGUGGCGAACGGGUGAGUAACGCGUGAGGAACCUGCCUCAAAGAGGGGGACAACAGUUGGAAACGACUGCUAAUACCGCAUAAGCCCACGGCUCGGCAUCGAGCAGAGGGAAAAGGAGCAAUCCGCUUUGAGGUGGCCUCGCGUCCGAUUAGCUAGUUGGUGAGGUAACGGCCCACCAAGGCGACGAUCGGUAGCCGGACUGAGAGGUUGAACGGCCACAUUGGGACUGAGACACGGCCCAGACUCCUACGGGAGGCAGCAGUGGGGAAUAUUGCACAAUGGGGGAAACCCUGAUGCAGCGACGCCGCGUGGAGGAAGAAGGUCUUCGGAUUGUAAACUCCUGUUGUUGAGGAAGAUAAUGACGGUACUCAACAAGGAAGUGACGGCUAACUACGUGCCAGCAGCCGCGGUAAAACGUAGGUCACAAGCGUUGUCCGGAAUUACUGGGUGUAAAGGGAGCGUAGGCGGGAGAACAAGUUGGAAGUGAAAUCCAUGGGCUCAACCCAUGAACUGCUUUCAAAACUGUUUUUCUUGAGUAGUGCAGAGGUAGGCGGAAUUCCCGGUGUAGCGGUGGAAUGCGUAGAUAUCGGGAGGAACACCAGUGGCGAAGGCGGCCUACUGGGCACCAACUGACGCUGAGGCUCGAAAGUGUGGGUAGCAAACAGGAUUAGAUACCCUGGUAGUCCACACCGUAAACGAUGAUUACUAGGUGUUGGAGGAUUGACCCCUUCAGUGCCGCAGUUAACACAAUAAGUAAUCCACCUGGGGAGUACGACCGCAAGGUUGAAACUCAAAGGAAUUGACGGGGGCCCGCACAAGCAGUGGAGUAUGUGGUUUAAUUCGACGCAACGCGAAGAACCUUACCAAGUCUUGACAUCCCUUGACGAACAUAGAAAUAUGUUUUCUCUUCGGAGCAAGGAGACAGGUGGUGCAUGGUUGUCGUCAGCUCGUGUCGUGAGAUGUUGGGUUAAGUCCCGCAACGAGCGCAACCCUUAUGGUCAGUUACUACGCAAGAGGACUCUGGCCAGACUGCCGUUGACAAAACGGAGGAAGGUGGGGAUGACGUCAAAUCAUCAUGCCCUUUAUGACUUGGGCUACACACGUACUACAAUGGCGUUAAACAAAGAGAAGCAAGACCGCGAGGUGGAGCAAAACUCAGAAACAACGUCCCAGUUCGGACUGCAGGCUGCAACUCGCCUGCACGAAGUCGGAAUUGCUAGUAACCGUGGAUCAGCAUGCCACGGUGAAUACGUUCCCGGGCCU
RNAcentral lists this ribosomal RNA (1332 nucleotides) under uncultured bacterium. RNAcentral's name for it is "bacterial SSU rRNA". It matches the Rfam family "Bacterial small subunit ribosomal RNA", at positions 28 to 1381 of the family's 1533-position model. The record is from RNAcentral.